GGAAGCACAAACUGUGUUUGCAAUAGCACUUGGCAUCUUUUGUAAAGUGCAUGGCUAUCAGGACUACGGGAAGCAUGACAGCCUGCCUUACGUACUUAAUCUUCUGAGCAGAAUUAUUUAACCAGCUGUGGCACUUCUCUUUCAUGUCUGGACAAGGAGGCCUAGGCACUGGUGUAGGUUUUCUGAGAGUGAACCCAGUCCAUUUUCUUUGACAGUGGAACUGAUUCAGUGUUGCUGAAGUGAAUGUCUUCAUCAGUGGGGCUGUCCCUGGCCAUCCUGUCAGUACCUUCAGAGGUUCUUGCAACAAGACAGCCCUUUCCAGCAGCUCCUCUACUGAAAGUAGUGAAAGAAGUUAUACAACAAUCAAGACUUCUGCAAAACUAG
Molecule: long non-coding RNA, 384 nt
Filed under: Cyanistes caeruleus (blue tit)
Lineage: Eukaryota; Metazoa; Chordata; Aves; Passeriformes; Paridae
Description: lncRNA (ENSCCEG00000013156.1)
Source: RNAcentral